Haliaeetus leucocephalus (bald eagle) is the source of this 2814-nucleotide RNA transcript. It is a transcript of the gene named DEAD (Asp-Glu-Ala-Asp) box polypeptide 41, with no coding region annotated. The transcript is spliced from 18 exons. NCBI's taxonomy places the organism in Eukaryota, Metazoa, Chordata, Aves, Accipitriformes, Accipitridae. The record is from RefSeq and is a predicted model, not a curated record.
AGCCGUCAUUUCCGGCGCGCGGGAUUUACAUCCGGGGCGGCGCGGCUGUUGCGGGGAGACGGCGCCAUGGAAGCCGGGACUGACAGGAAGAGGCAGCGGGAGGAGGCGGCGGAGACGUCCGACCUCUCCGGGGAGGAAGAUGACGACUAUGUGCCCUACGUGCCCGUCAAGCAGCGCAAGCAGCAGAUGCUGCAGAAGUUGCUGCAGAUGCGGCGGAAGGUGGUGUCAGAGGAGGAGCAGCGGGACAGCGGGAGCGAGCAGCGGGGCGACGAGGAUGACAUCCCCCUGGGGCCCCAGUCCAACAUCAGCCUCCUGGACCAGCACCAGCACCUCAAAGAGAAGGCGGAAGCUCGGAAGGAGUCAGCCAAGGAGAAGCAGCUGAAGGAGGAAGAGAAGAUCCUGGAGAGUGUGGCAGAGGGCAGAGCUUUGAUGUCAGUGAAGGAGAUGGCAAAGGGCAUCACCUACGAUGAUCCAAUUAAAACCAGCUGGAGAGCACCUCGUUACAUCCUGGGCAUGUCAGAGGCACGGCACGAUCGCGUGCGCAAGAAGUACCACAUCCUGGUGGAGGGGGAAGGCAUCCCACCCCCCAUCAAGAGCUUCAAGGAGAUGAAGUUCCCAGCAGCUAUCCUGAGGGGCCUGAAGAAAAAAGGAAUCCAGCAGCCAACACCCAUACAGAUCCAAGGCAUCCCCACGAUCCUCUCAGGAAGGGACAUGAUUGGCAUUGCAUUCACUGGCUCUGGGAAGACCUUGGUGUUCACCCUCCCAGUGAUCAUGUUCUGCCUGGAGCAGGAGAAGAGGCUGCCGUUUUCCAAGCGAGAGGGACCCUAUGGACUCAUCAUCUGUCCCUCGCGGGAGCUGGCCCGGCAGACCCACGGCAUCAUUGAGUACUACUGUCGCCUGCUGCAGGAGGAUGGCCUGCCCCCGCUGCGCUGUGCCCUCUGCAUCGGGGGCAUGUCUGUCAAGGAGCAGAUGGAGACAAUCAAACAUGGUGUACACAUGAUGGUGGCAACCCCUGGCCGCCUGAUGGACCUGCUGCAGAAGAAGAUGGUGAGCCUGGACAUCUGCCGUUACUUGGCCUUGGAUGAGGCUGACAGGAUGAUCGAUAUGGGCUUUGAGGGGGACAUCCGUACCAUCUUCUCCUACUUCAAGGGCCAGCGGCAAACCCUUCUCUUCAGUGCCACAAUGCCCAAGAAGAUCCAGAACUUUGCCAAGAGUGCCCUGGUGAAGCCCAUCACCAUUAACGUUGGGCGAGCGGGUGCUGCCAGCCUGGAUGUUGUGCAGGAAGUGGAGUACGUGAAAGAGGAGGCCAAGAUGGUGUACCUCCUUGAGUGCCUGCAGAAGACCCCACCACCCGUGCUGAUCUUUGCAGAGAAAAAGGCGGAUGUCGAUGCGAUCCAUGAGUACCUGCUGCUCAAGGGUGUGGAAGCUGUGGCCAUCCAUGGAGGGAAAGAUCAGGAAGAACGGACAAAAGCCAUUGAGGCCUUCCGGGAUGGGAAGAAGGAUGUCCUGGUUGCCACUGAUGUCGCUUCCAAGGGCCUGGACUUCCCAGCCAUCCAGCACGUCAUCAACUACGACAUGCCGGAGGAGAUUGAGAACUAUGUUCACCGUAUCGGGCGUACAGGCCGUUCUGGCAACACUGGCAUUGCCACCACCUUCAUCAACAAGGCCUGCGAUGAGUCGGUGCUGAUGGACCUGAAGGCCCUGCUCCUGGAGGCGAAGCAGAAGGUGCCACCUGUGCUCCAGGUGCUGCACUGCGGGGAUGAGACCAUGCUGGACAUUGGAGGCGAGCGGGGCUGCGCCUUCUGCGGCGGCCUGGGCCAUCGCAUCACUGACUGCCCCAAGCUGGAGGCAAUGCAGACCAAGCAAGUCAGCAACAUCGGCCGCAAGGACUACCUGGCCCACAGCUCUAUGGAUUUCUAGCCUGGGGAGCGUGCUGCCCGGCGCUCCCCCUGCGCGGACCUUGGUUCCCUUUCAGCCAGGGCAGCGCCCCAGCUGCCCUCGCCUUUCCUAAGCCGAGGGGCCUGUCCUGCACUGCUGUGGCCCCUUUUCCAGGCCUUUGGCCACCGGAGCUAUUGCCAGCUCAGCCUGAUGAAGCUCCUGCCCCGGGAGGAAACUGGGAGGAAAUGUGUGGAGCCAUGCUGCAACAACCUGUUAUGUCAGCGGCGCAUUGGGCAAGCAGGUAGCGGUGCCUGAGGGGAGGAGGAAGCCCCAGGUGGAGUGACUGGUCUGUGGCCGGCUGCCUGCUGCGUCUGCCAGCCAGCCGCAGUGGUGCAGCCAGGGUCUUACGUCGCUCCUCUCCAAAGCCCCUUGAUUCCUCCAGGACUGUCCCCCUUACCUGGUUUUGUGCAUCCUCAGCUGGUGGCUGUUGCCGUAUCCCCCAAACACACUCUGAUGCAGCCAGGGCAAGGCGGGGCACGCUGCAUUUGUGUCAGGCAGUCCCCUAGGUGCUUCCUGUGCUCUGCCUGUGCGUGUUCUGCCCCACUGCCUUUCUGCGAGGGGGAGGGCAGAUGGAUGGACACCUCCUGUGGCCCAGCCUCUGCCCCUCAUCCCACACACCAAAAAGGGGAAGUUGCUGAGAGAAGGAAGUCUGCCCCAUGCAGUUGCUUCAGCUGCAGCAGUCACAUUUUCACCGCUGCUGGUAGCCCGAGUCCCCAGUCCUUGCGCUGGCCCAUGGAGAGACCGGUGAAGGAUGGGAUCCUCUAUGUGCAGCACUGCAAAUUUGGAAAGAGGUCCUGGAGGAAGAUGCGAGCCCAGCUCUUCGCUGCCAGCCCCUCUGGUGUGGCCCGCAUGGAGAAGUUUGAUGUGCGGGAUGAC